This 252-nucleotide ribosomal RNA is filed under the name uncultured bacterium. RNAcentral describes it as "partial 16S ribosomal RNA". It matches the Rfam family "Bacterial small subunit ribosomal RNA", at positions 524 to 776 of the family's 1533-position model. The record is from RNAcentral.
UACGUAGGGUGCGAGCGUUGUCCGGAAUUAUUGGGCGUAAAGAGCUUGUAGGCGGUCUGUCGCGUCUGCUGUGAAAAUCCGGGGCUCAACCCCGGACUUGCAGUGGGUACGGGCAGACUAGAGUGUGGUAGGGGAGACUGGAAUUCCUGGUGUAGCGGUGAAAUGGCAGAUAUCAGGAGGAACACCGGUGGCGAAGGCGGUGGUCUGGGCCGGAACUGACGCUGAGGAGCGAAAGCGUGGGGAGCGAACAGG